RNAcentral lists this transfer RNA (61 nucleotides) under Phelipanche caesia. RNAcentral describes it as "partial tRNA-Leu". It matches the Rfam family "tRNA", at positions 23 to 71 of the family's 71-position model. From Rfam's summary of the family: Transfer RNA (tRNA) molecules are approximately 80 nucleotides in length. Their secondary structure includes four short double-helical elements and three loops (D, anti-codon, and T loops). RNAcentral also lists the same sequence under 2 other names. The record is from RNAcentral. Lineage: Eukaryota; Viridiplantae; Streptophyta; Magnoliopsida; Lamiales; Orobanchaceae.
GCUACGGACUUAAAAUCCGUCGACUUUAAAAAUCGUGAGGGUUCAAGUCCCUCUAUCCCCA